Homo sapiens (human) is the source of this 1243-nucleotide long non-coding RNA. RefSeq lists it as uncharacterized. The record is from RefSeq and is a predicted model, not a curated record. NCBI's taxonomy places the organism in Eukaryota, Metazoa, Chordata, Mammalia, Primates, Hominidae. The transcript is spliced from 2 exons.
GGACACCAGUACAGGACGGGGCUUCGCAGACAGCGAGCGGAGGGGCUUCCCCGUAAGGGGCGGGCUUCGAGGGUCGCGUUUGGAAGGCCUUACGAGGGGCCCGGUGGAAGGGCGGUGAAGGGCGGGCUAAUCGGGAGGCGCUCAGGCCUUGAAGGCCUGCGGGAGGUCGAAAUGGUCCUGGGGAGGUCGAGGCUGAGGUCUCACUAGUACCGCGGGCCUGGAAGCGGCGGGAGUUGAAAGAGCCUGCGGUGACCUGUAUGGAAGCCCUCGAAGCCAGGCCGAGGUCCUACAAGACGGAGCCCGAGAGGUGCCGGUCUUAAGCUGACUGUGACCACGUUAAAUUAAGGAUUCAUAGGAAGGAAGGCGGUGUCGAAGCCGGGAGUUGCGCGGAGAAGGAGCGCUCAACACAGCCUCAGCGGUUCACUACGCAAGCGCGACCAACGGCUUCCCGGGAAGCAGCCAAAAACGCUUGGCCGCCUACCACGUCCGCGCGCUGGAGGGCGGAAGUGGAUGAAGAGACUGAGGCAUAGAGAAGUUAUUAGUAACUUGCCAAAAAUUACACAGCCAUUGAGUAAAACAGCUUGGAUUUUGAGUCCAACCAGUGUGGCUCUAGAGUCUGUGCUAUACUGGUAUUCCAGCUUCCAGGUCUUGGGGUACCCAGCCAAGCACUGAACUGUCCAUCCCUCACCCCCUCAGGGAGCCCGAAUCACCAACAGCUAUCCCAAACCCAGCUCUGGCCCAUCAGAUACCCAGACAUCCCAUCAUCCAGUUCCCUUCCCUGGAUCCAGGAUUUGAAUUCCCCUGCUCUCAAUUUAUCAGAGUUCUGGGCACCUGGUCCCCUCCCAAGAGACUCGUGUACAUAGUAGUCAUCACCCCGACCCUAAUUUAAUAUCCCCAAAAUUAAUAAUAAUAGUUAACAGUAAACCUUUGGGGCCAGGCACAGUGUCUUACGCCUGUAAUCCCAUCAUUUUGGGAGGCCAAGGCAGGCAGAUCACUGGAGGUCAGGAGUUCGAGGCCAGCCUGGCCAACAUGGAGAAACCCCCGUCUCUACUAAAAAUACAAAAAUUGGCUGGGCGUGGUGGCGGGCACCUGUAAUCCCAGCUACUCAGGAGGCUGAGGCAGGAGAAUCGCUUGAACCGGGAGGUGGAGGUUGCAGUGAGCUGAGAUCAUGCCACUGCACUCCAGCCUGGAUGACAGAGCAAGACUCCAUCUCAAAAAAAAAAUAAAAAUCUUUGGUACUACA